Capsicum annuum is the source of this 1039-nucleotide RNA transcript. It is a transcript of the gene named probable serine incorporator, with no coding region annotated. The transcript is spliced from 2 exons. NCBI's taxonomy places the organism in Eukaryota, Viridiplantae, Streptophyta, Magnoliopsida, Solanales, Solanaceae. The record is from RefSeq and is a predicted model, not a curated record.
GUGACAGAUUGAGUAGUCCAUCACAAUAAAAUAAAAAAAAAGUAACUAAUAUAAUAACGGAUUUAUUCUGUCACAAUAAAAUUAUUUUUUUUUAAUUAAUUUUAAAAAUAUUUUUGACAGAUUUCUUUCCGUAACAAAAGCAUAAUUAAGCAGAUUUCUUCAUUUUCCCUCAAAAUUCCCUCAAAAUUUUUUUGCCUCUUUUUAUUUUCCCUCAAAACCUACAGAAAACCCUUCACUCUUCAUCCUGCACAACAGUUUGCUCCAUUUUGACAACGGCGGGUGUUCAAGAUUUGGCUGCCCUCAUGUUGACUUCACUCUCGUUUUGCAUAAUAUUUUGCUCCAUUUUGACAAAGUGGGUGUUCAAGAUUUGACCACUCGUCUUAUUCGGCACACCCAUUUUACUCCAUUUUGACGAAAUGGCUAUUCAAGAUUCUGUUGUUAUUCUUAUCUUCUUAAGGUUCAGGGAAGCCUUUGCUACCAUUGGACAAGGUCGAUGAGGAGGAAGAAAAAGAGAGAUCUAAAUCAGUCUCGUACUCCUAUUCUUUCUUCCACCUUAUCUUUUCUCUUGCCAGUAUGUACUCGGCAAUGCUUCUAACAGGGUGGAAAAUUAGUAGACGUUGGGUGGCCAUCUUUCUGGGUCAGGAUCGUGUUGCCGAAGAGCGUAUCAAAAUACUUAAGAAAGAGGUUAAAUAUGAGAGAAAAUCAAGAGAGUUCUUCAAGAGCGUGUAGAGUUGGAGGUGCAACAGCGACUAGAGCAAGAGGUUUCCCAUUUGAGGCAACAAAGUGAUGAUCGAUUCAAAUCUAUGGAGGAGCAAUGAUCUCGUAUGAUGAGCGAUAUGACAUUAUCUUCUCGCUCAUUUAGUAAUCCUACUGUCCCUAAUAGAGACUCAUCUAAUGCUUAAAUGUUUAAUAUUUUGAGAAAUUAGUUGAAGUGUCGACUUGAACAUUGUCACGUUCUUUUGGAUAGUUAUAUGCUUUAAAUUUUAAACAUUGGUAGACUUUUGCUUAUUGAAGUUGUGAUUUUGCAUGUUUUAAUUAA